Molecule: non-coding RNA, 776 nt
Organism: Coffea arabica (coffee)
Lineage: Eukaryota; Viridiplantae; Streptophyta; Magnoliopsida; Gentianales; Rubiaceae
Source: RefSeq, a predicted model, not a curated record
CAUGACCUUGUGCUCAUCCACCAUAUCUAGUGCCCACGCCAUCAGCAUGUCCUUAUCUUCCUCAAAGCCUACAACAUCAGCAUCUGAGAGGAACAAAGGAGCAAAUCUUGGAUGAAGAUCUGAGUAAUCACGGUUUGUAGUUGGACUUGGUGGUAAGGCAGCUUGGGACGAAUUUGCUGGUCAAGAAUGUCGAUGAUGUCAUAAGCUGCAUCUUGAACCUUUCGAACCCAAUUCAAAAUUUGUUGAUCUUGGACCGCUCUUUGAUGAGCUGCACUCAGAAAUGCUGCUAUAGAAUCCAGUUCGCUUCCCAAAGUCCGGAUUCCAGUAUCAACUUUCUUUGGCAACUGCAAUUCUCGCUUUAGAAAAGCAUCGAGCUUUGCAAGAACAAAUUGCACACAAGGGUCAAUCUCGAGUUUGUUGUUGCUUAUUUUCUCCUCUACCAAUGAGAAGGAUAAAAUGUUGGCCGGGUCAAGAAUGCAAAAUUUUCCUGGUUCGAGAAGGAAAGCUUCCAAUUGAGACGGUUUCUCAUGACUGAGUGCACGCGGAUGCAUUUACAUGUACUGGUUAUAGAUUUAAUGCGCUAUGGGCAUCAAUUAGAAAAAGUAUACCUUAUCAAGAGUAAAUUUGACUUAGGGCCCUUAUUUUUAUAUGUUUGUCUGAUUUUAUCACCUUCAAUUUUGUUUAUUAGCACUUAACCCCCAUUAGAAAAACUUUUUUUUUUUUUUGUAAAUUAUACUUGACCCUCUUAUGUUUAUAUGAGUGUCUUUAUUUGACUC